GAUGAAGAACGCAGCGAAAUGCGAUAAGUAGUGUGAAUUGCAGAAUUCAGUGAAUCAUCGAAUCUUUGAACGCACAUUGCGCCCCUUGGUAUUCCAUGGGGCAUGCCUGUUCGAGCGUCAUUUGUACCUUCAAGCCUUGCUUGGUGUUGGGUGUUUGUCUCGCCUCUGCGCGCAGACUCGCCUCAAAACAAUUGGCAGCCGGCGUAUUGAUUUCGGAGCGCAGUACAUCUCGCGCUUUGCACUCAGAACGACGACGUCCAAAAGUACAUUUUUACACUCUUGACCUCGGAUCAGGUAGGACUACCCGCUGAACUUAAGCAUAUCAAUAAGCGGAGGA
RNAcentral lists this unclassified non-coding RNA (337 nucleotides) under soil metagenome. RNAcentral's name for it is "partial contains 5.8S ribosomal RNA, internal transcribed spacer 2, and large subunit ribosomal RNA". The stretch from base 1 to 120 matches the Rfam family "5.8S ribosomal RNA", at positions 35 to 154 of the family's 154-position model. The record is from RNAcentral.